Non-coding RNA from Chiloscyllium plagiosum (whitespotted bambooshark), 230 nucleotides. Lineage: Eukaryota; Metazoa; Chordata; Chondrichthyes; Orectolobiformes; Hemiscylliidae. The record is from RefSeq and is a predicted model, not a curated record.
GAAUAUGACAGCCCUUUUACAAAAUAUUGCACGUGUGCCUGGCAUCGGGGUGGAAACAGCGAGGGAGGUACAACGCGGUUCCCCGACCGGGAGAAAACCCUGACGUUGGUCGGGGAAUGGAGAGGAGAAGGGAAAGACGGAGAGGGGAUAAGAAAGAUGGCCAGAUAGACAGGGAGGGACAUAGAGAUAGAUGGAGAGAGCACAGUGAGACAGAUAGGAGGGAGGGGGAG